This 771-nucleotide ribosomal RNA is filed under the name bacterium. RNAcentral describes it as "bacterial SSU rRNA". It matches the Rfam family "Bacterial small subunit ribosomal RNA", at positions 66 to 832 of the family's 1533-position model. The record is from RNAcentral.
GAUCCAUCGGUAGCUUGCUAUCCAUGGUGAGAGUGGCGCACGGGUGCGUAACGCGUGAGCAACCUGCCUCCAUCAGGGGGAUAGCCUCUCGAAAGAGAGAUUAACACCGCAUAACAUAUUUUACCGGCAUCGGACGAAUAUUAAAUAUUUAUAGGAUGGAGAUGGGCUCGCGUGACAUUAGCUUGUUGGUGGGGUAACGGCCCACCAAGGCGACGAUGUCUAGGGGCUCUGAGAGGAGAAUCCCCCACACUGGUACUGAGACACGGACCAGACUCCUACGGGAGGCAGCAGUAAGGAAUAUUGGUCAAUGGGCGGAAGCCUGAACCAGCCAUGCCGCGUGCAGGAUGACUGCCCUAUGGGUUGUAAACUGCUUUUGUCCGGGAAUAAACCUCCUUACGAGUAGGGAGCUGAAUGUACCGGAAGAAUAAGGAUCGGCUAACUCCGUGCCAGCAGCCGCGGUAAUACGGAGGAUCCGAGCGUUAUCCGGAUUUAUUGGGUUUAAAGGGUGCGUAGGCGGCCUGUUAAGUCAGGGGUGAAAUACGGUGGCUCAACCAUCGCAGUGCCUUUGAUACUGACGGGCUUGAAUCCAUAUGAAGUGGGCGGAAUAAGACAAGUAGCGGUGAAAUGCAUAGAUAUGUCUUAGAACUCCGAUUGCGAAGGCAGCUCACUAAGCUGGUAUUGACGCUGAUGCACGAAAGCGUGGGGAUCGAACAGGAUUAGAUACCCUGGUAGUCCACGCCCUAAACGAUGAUAACUCGAUGUUGGCGAUAG